GAUGAACGCUAGCGGCAGGCUUAAUACAUGCAAGUCGUGGGGCAGCAUGAGUAGCAAUACUUGAUGGCGACCGGCAAACGGGUGAGGAACACGUACACAACCUUCCUUCAAGCGGGGAAUAGCCCAGAGAAAUUUGGAUUAAUACCCCAUAAUAUAUUUGAUAAGGCAUCUUAUUAAAUAUUAAAGCUUCGGCACUUGAUGAUGGGUGUGCGGCUGAUUAGAUAGUUGGCGGGGUUAACGGCCCACCAAGUCUACGAUCAGUAGCUGAUGUGAGAGCAUGAUCAGCCACACGGGCACUGAGACACGGGCCCGACUCCUACGGGAGGCAGCAGUAAGGAAUAUUGGACAAUGGACGAAAGUCUGAUCCAGCCAUGCCGCGUGAAGGAUUAAGGUCCUCUGGAUUGUAAACUUC
This 412-nucleotide ribosomal RNA is filed under the name uncultured bacterium. RNAcentral's name for it is "bacterial SSU rRNA". It matches the Rfam family "Bacterial small subunit ribosomal RNA", at positions 28 to 433 of the family's 1533-position model. The record is from RNAcentral.